UUUUUUUUGUUGUUGUUGCUCACAGUUACUAACUUUUUUUUAUAUCUCAUUAGCUCGGAUGCGAUGACGCAGGAUAUGGACCUCCCUCUCAUAUGUUAGGGUUAGGUUGCUUUUAAAGUCACCAUGAAACCAAACGGGACCAUUCUUAUUAUUUUGUAAGGAAUAUUGCAGUAUUUAUCAUAAAUGAUUUAUCCGUGUACAUCAUUAUUUCUUUAAUUCUGUCCCUCCCUAAUCUUUAAUCAAAUACGUCCCCUCCCUCUUACAACUCUGAUGAUGUGUUUACUAGCAUGAGGGCGGGGCAACCUGUCACUCACAUGAGAUCAACCAAUAGCAAACCAGCAGUCAUCUAAUCAAUUCCUGAUGAACAAAAUCAGGUCCCACCCUAUAUUUUUUCUUGUUUCACACAGAUAUAUGUCACAGUAGGGAGGAAAAAUCUUUAAAAUGUAAGAUGUUUGAUAAAAGUACAUAUAUUUUUUUACAUGUUUAAUUGUUUUAACAAGUUAGAUUACAAGUUAAAGUGCAUAUUUUUCACCUGUCUACAAAUAGACUCGCUUUCACAAAAAACAGAUGUUGCAUCUGUUUCAAGAGAACCACAGAUUAGUGUGGGAAAAAGCACAGGAAGCGACGACGGCUAAUUACACGGAGAUAAGGAGUAUCUCAUUUCCAGAGGAAAUGUGUGGAGGCUGUUUGUGAAGGGAUCUGUGCAUUCACACAAAGACAAAAGAAAAAAGUAUUAAACCAAUAUGACUGCUGUGUCUUUCAUGCAUUGUAACAGUGCUUUUUGUUUGUUAACUCUGCCAUAUACAUAAAUAUACAAAAGCAUAGUAAACUAAGUCUCCACUAAAACCGAGUUAAUGAUGAGAAAGAUGACUAUUUGCCCUCUUAAAUGGUAGUUCAUGGGAGUUAGGAUCUGGAGGUCAAAGGUUGAGGGCCUGCAAAUCUUGACACCAUCAAGACAAAUGAUGCCUCCAUUCAGCCAUCCAACUACAUGAAAGAGGCACUUGUAUGAGAGGAAAGCAGUUGUGGAUCAGGACUCACCUACGGCUUCCGCGUCAUAAUACUUGGAAUACAGGAUUGUUAAAUCACAAUAGAAGGAAAAGUUACCUUUUUUUUUUUUUUACCAUGAUUUUUUUUUUAAUCAUUUAGAAAACUAAAACAGUUUCUGGGAUCAAAUGCCUUGUUUAAGUGACUUUGACUCUGUUUCAGAUCUUAGCGUGCUGCCUGUAUAGGAAGCAUUGCAGACACACUAUCAAAUUAUGCCUUCUAAGAUGCCUUAUUUUGUCUAAAUUAUACGGCAGCAUUACAUAUAUCUUUCCUAGACACGGUAAUCCCAGAAUGCAUAAUAAAUAUUCCAUAUAUUUCAUUUAGUGCUAAAAAAGUAUCAACAAAAAUGGUUCAGUCUUUUUAAAACUUUAGAUGCUAUUAUUUUGAUGUUAAUUAGACUAUUGUGUUGUUAGCAUAGCAACAUGCUAAUGUCAAACUCUGUUGGAAUAAGUGGUAAUUCGAGUCUCCUGUGCGAGUCAGAGAUGCUCCCUAUGAAGUGUUACUAACAAGGUUUAAUGAUAAUUAGGAUGCUUUAUAAAGGCACGUUCACAACAAGAACGAUAAAUAUAAUGCUGACUAUAUGCUAUACUAACUAAUGUAUGAUAAAUGUUUAUAAUAAGCACACUGCAGUUUUUUCAUCUGCCUUUUACAAAAUGUAAUAUAAGUCUCUGGUGUCCCCAGAAUGUGUCUGUGAAGUUUCAGCUCAAAAUACCCCACAGAUCAUUUAUUAUAGCUUGUCAAAUUUGCCCCUAUUUGGGUGUGAGCAAAAACACACCGUUUUUGUGUGUGUCCCUUUAAAUGCAAAUGAGCUGCUGCUCCUGGCCUGCUUUCCAGAAGAGGGCGGAGCUUCAACAGCUUGCACUUCGGCUGCUCAACAACAACAAAGCCGGAGAAUCUCAUGCAGCCAAAAUAACGAUUGUCAGUAACGGUGUUCAUCCUUGCACUGUUCAAACCGGAGUCGGACACUGAUGGAGAGACUCAGGAAGUAGUUACAACUUUUAGAAUGCAUCUGGACGUUUCUGAAUGGUUAGAGGAUAAAUUUAUGUAGCUGCUGUGUAGUUGAUUCAACUCAUUGACUAGCAUGUGCUGUCAUGUUAAUCUUUUGUGCAAAUCCAGCAUUGAGUUGACUCGUUUGUAAAGCAGUCCGGCGUAAAAUGAAGCAGCUCUUCUCUAAAGCAGCCCAACAUGGCCUCACUCCCUUUGUUGCAUGUUCUCGGGGGCGGGGUUUAUGUAAAUUUUAGGGUUAUUGAUGUCACUAACCUGGGAAGAAGCUUGUUGUAGUCCCUACCAGCCCUUUGUUGUAGUCCUUAAACAGCGAAUUCUUUAAAAGAAAAUAUCUCCCUUUGCAUUGAACUUUGAGCGUUGUAACUUUGUAGAUGCUGUUUAUGCUCAAACAGCAACAUUACACACUAACUAAAGUUAAAAAAGUGAAAUCAUAAUCAACCACCCCUUUAAAAUUGUGUGGAUUUUGAAUGGCUGUAAAUGUUUUAUCAUUCAUCAGCUGGAAAAAAAAUCAUUCUGAAAGUGAUUAAAAUGAUAUUGUUCCUCUGUGUCAUUAUCGUUAUGGUGUGGACUUCCCUAUUCUCAUAGAAUCAGAACGAUUAUUAAAACUUGAUGUGAAUGUACCUUAAUAAGUGUAUAUCCUAUGUAGACAGUCACAUUUUAGAGCAGAGUUAACAAUAGGACACCUUUUAUAGACUGAUACUUAAACUGUGAAACAGGAACUUCUUAAUGUCAUUAGCUUAGCAGCACGCUAACAUCAAACUCUAUUGUAAUCAAUGGAAAGUAAGAUCUGUGUAGGACAUAUGAAGAGUAAUAUUUGCAUGGUGCAUGUUUUUUUGCCACAUAUAAGGUUCCAUGAUGGUUGGGAUGCUGCCUCAUAAGUGCUAGCAGUAGGGUUAAAGUUAAAGACUUUAAACAGCCUUAAAGCAACACCAAACCUGACAGUUUGCAUGUCCAAGCAAUAUCUAUUUUAGUGUUCCCUGACCUUUGACACAAUCCCUGACAUGUUUGACAGUAACUGGAUACAGUUUGAACUCACUUGAACUGUAGCAGCUUUUUGAGGUUACUUCUGUGCAGAACAUGUUCAGUACAUAUAAAGAAUCAGGGUAAUGUUUCACUGAACAUCUAAAUCUGUUUCCCGUAAAACAACUUAACCACCGUAGUAUGCAUCAUUGAAGAAAUUGUUUUCCAAAACCAUAGUGACAUGGCACAUGCGCACUCUUCAAAAACGGUGCUGUUUUUUAACACGCUAAAAUAUAUGUAUUUAAAUGGGAAAAAGUUAUAGAAUGUACUGCAUGUUACCUUGCUUAUUUUGCCCAAGAGCAAGUCCACACCAUUUUAACACAAAACUAUGCUUCUGUUGCUCCAACCACACAAGUUUGCGAUGCUGUUUGCGAAUGUUCGUUGUAACUAUGGUUUCAGGAAAUCGUUGAACUAUGUUGGUAAUGACGAAACUUGCAUAUUUGGUUAACAAUGCCCCUUUACCCCAGAACGGUUCCAAUGGAUUGCACCAGUUUAGUUUGCAUGGCCUCGCUAAAAUGACAUUGACUUAGCUGGUGCCCCACUUCCUCUGCCCGGCCACUUCCUUUCCUGUCAGCCACAAGCUUACGGGAACAGCGUGACGUAAGACCAAACAGAGCAGUGCUAAAUGUUUUAGCAACUCAUUGCUUGAAUAUCAGUCAGUCAGCUGUAUAUCACAUACAGAUUCCUACCUCUGCUGUCUCACUCCUAACAGAAACAAUCAUCCAUCAUGUUCAGCCUCAGGCUGCUCAGAGACAAAUGCAGAAUCCACCCCUGCAAACCACAUUAGCACAUAGCAGCUUUACAUUGGAAUACGUUCACGAUCGUGUCUGAAGAGCGGCACUUGAUUUUAGUAAUUGGGGAUUGAUUGGGUCAUGAGUCAUUUGCUUGGGUUCAAGGGGUUGUUGACAUGAAAGGAAAAUAAUUUAAGAGGCAGAACAAGUUAUUAGAUUUUAAUGAAUAAUAAGGCCAGGAACAUGUAUUUAAAAAAAAAAAAAAAAAAAGUCAAUUGGCCAAAAUGAUUUCAUUUUGACUUUUUACUACACCGGUAUUCUAAAAGAGAUUGUUCACACAUGUACUCACCCUCACGUCACUCCAAACCUGUAUGACUUUCUUUCUUCUGCGUAAUACAAAGAAGAUAUUUUGACAAACUGUUUUUUGUCCACACAAUGAAAGUCAAUGGGGUCCAAAACAAAACAUUGGACCCCAUUCACUUUGACUGUAUGGAGAGAAAAACAAAACAAAACAUAAGCUGCGUCUGAAAUUGAAUACUUCCUUACUACAUAGUAUGCCAAAAACAGUACGCAAACAGCAUAGUAUGUCCGAACGCAUAGCAUUCGAAAAACAGUAGGCGAAAAGUACCUGAAUGACAUACUAGUUCCGCCGAUAUUCCCCAUUAGGCCACUGGAGAGGAUUUAUGAAUGGAAGUGAAGCAACGCAACUGACGCUGGUUGGUCACGUGACAGUAACAACAUGGCGGAUGUAGUACUUCCGAAUUUCAUUCAUACUACACAAAUUCAUACUAUAUAGAACAUACUUUUUUAAUGGUCAUGAAGUAAGUUCAAAUUCAAAUGUAGUACCUACUCAGUAUGCGAUUUCAGAUGCAGCGAUAAGACAUUUUUUCAAAAGUUUACCACACAAGUUUGCGAUGCUGUUUACGAAUGGUUAUUGGAACUAUGAUUUUGGGAAACAGAAUCGGUGAACUAUGUUGGUAACAACAGAACUUGCGACCAUAGUUUCUGCAAGGAAAAAAUUACAUUUAUUUAUUUAUUUUAUUUAUUUUUUGUUUGUUUGUUUUUUUUGUAUUUGGCACAUGUAAGUAUUGUCACAUUCUAAACUUGCAUAAUGAAUAAAAAAAAUGUAAUGAAAAGAUAUUUUGACUAACUGUUUUUGUCCACACAAUCAUUGAACCCCAUUGACUUUCACUAUAUGGACAAAAUAAAACAAAGAUUUUUUUUAAAUAUCUUCUUUGUUUUUAGAAGAAAGAAAGUCAUACACAUUUCAAACAACAUGAGGGUGAGUAAAUGACAACAAUUUUCAAUUUAGGUCUAUUUUUCUAAAACUGUUUUUCAUUCAUGAAAAUGUGCAAUAAUAUAUAAUGGGUUAAAUGGAUAGUACACCAAAAAGAAAAAAAAAAAGAAAAUUAUGUGAUUUACUUACCCUCAUGUUAUUUCGGACCUGUAUGAUUUUCUUUCUUCAGUGGAACAUAGAAGAAGAUAUUUUGAAGAAUGUUGGUAACCAAACAGUUUAGACAAAAAAAAAAAAAAAAAAAAAGAA
Molecule: long non-coding RNA, 5343 nt
Organism: Ctenopharyngodon idella (grass carp)
Lineage: Eukaryota; Metazoa; Chordata; Actinopteri; Cypriniformes; Xenocyprididae
Exons: 2
Source: RefSeq, a predicted model, not a curated record